This 441-nucleotide small RNA is filed under the name Saccharomyces cerevisiae (brewer's yeast). Its description in RNAcentral is "YCL075W". The record is from RNAcentral. Lineage: Eukaryota; Fungi; Ascomycota; Saccharomycetes; Saccharomycetales; Saccharomycetaceae.
AUGUAUAUAAUUUACGGAGCUGAUCAUCGCAUAAGCAACUGUUCUCUGCUUAAACGAAGAAUACCAGAAGCACGAAUCUUUAAAUUAUAUCCUAAUGACAAAACGAGUAGAUCUUCAUCUGCUAGUGUCGCGAUUCCUGACUAUGAAACGCAAGGCCAAACAGCAGGACAGAUAACACCGAAGUCCUGGCUCUGUAUGUUAUCUUCGACUGUUCCAGCUACCAAAUCCUCAGAAUGGAUUUUUGACACAGGAUGUACUUCCCACAUGUGCCACGACCGUUCCAUUUUUUCAUCAUUUACUAGAUCCUCUAGGAAAGACUUUGUCAGAGGAGUUGGCGGUUCCAUACCCAUCAUGGGCUCCGGAACUGUAAACAUUGGCACUGUUCAAUUACAUGACGUAUCUUACGUUCCUGAUUUACCAGUUAACCUGAUAUCCGUUUGA